Streptomyces sp. DvalAA-14 is the source of this 81-nucleotide non-coding RNA. Lineage: Bacteria; Bacillati; Actinomycetota; Actinomycetes; Kitasatosporales; Streptomycetaceae. The record is from Rfam.
AGGGGAAGCCGGUGCGAAUCCGGCGCUGCCCCGCAACGGUGAGCGGGCGCGCCCCGGCGCGCCCGCACAGCCCGAUCGCCU